Molecule: transfer RNA, 88 nt
Filed under: Saprospiraceae bacterium
Lineage: Bacteria; Pseudomonadati; Bacteroidota; Saprospiria; Saprospirales; Saprospiraceae
Description: tRNA-Ser
Rfam family: tRNA
About the family: Transfer RNA (tRNA) molecules are approximately 80 nucleotides in length. Their secondary structure includes four short double-helical elements and three loops (D, anti-codon, and T loops).
Source: RNAcentral
GGAGGGAUGGCCGAGUGGUCGAAGGCGCACGCCUGGAAAGUGUGUAAACCCCAAAAGGGUUUCGUGGGUUCGAAUCCCACUCUCUCCG